RNAcentral lists this ribosomal RNA (537 nucleotides) under Rayllianassa cf. amboinensis MNHN IU 2013-7137. RNAcentral's name for it is "partial large subunit ribosomal RNA". It matches the Rfam family "Bacterial large subunit ribosomal RNA", at positions 1825 to 2625 of the family's 2925-position model. The record is from RNAcentral. Lineage: Eukaryota; Metazoa; Arthropoda; Malacostraca; Decapoda; Callianassidae.
GUCUGGUUGAACUUCCUAAUCAGUCUGGCCUGCCCAUUGAUGUUUUAAAAGGCCGCGGUACAAUGACCGUGCGAAGGUAGCAUAAUAAUUAGUCUUUUAAUUGAAGACUAGAAUGAAAGGUCGGACAAAAAGUAACCUUUCCCAAAGCCUAAAAUCCAAUUUAACUUUUAAGUGAAAAGGCUUAAAUAUUCUUAAAAGACGACAAGACCCUAUAAAACUUUAUAAAAAGAUUUUAACUUUAAAUUUAUUUGUGUAUUUAUUUUAAUUUCGUCUUAUUUAUUUCGUUGGGGCGACGAAAGCAUAAUUAACCUGCUUUUUACUUCAUCACAAUUAUUUUUGAACCUUAUGACCCUUUAUAAAGAUCAAAAGAAAAAGUUACUUUAGGGAUAACAGCGUAAUUUUUUUUAAGAGUUCUUAUCGACAAUAAAGUUUGCGACCUCGAUGUUGAAUUAAAGUAUCUUUACAAUGCAGCCGUUGUAUUAGUAGGUCUGUUCGACCUUUAAAACUUUACAUGAUUUGAGUUCAAACCGGCGUAAG